AUUGAACGCUGGCGGCAUGCCUUACACAUGCAAGUCGAACGGCAGCGCGGGUACUUGCACCUGGCGGCGAGUGGCGAACGGGUGAGUAAUAUAUCGGAACGUGCCCUAGAGUGGGGGAUAACUAGUCGAAAGAUUAGCUAAUACCGCAUACGAUCUACGGAUGAAAGUGGGGGAUCGCAAGACCUCAUGCUCCUGGAGCGGCCGAUAUCUGAUUAGCUAGUUGGUGGGGUAAAAGCCUACCAAGGCGACGAUCAGUAGCUGGUCAGAGAGGACGACCAGCCACAGUGGGACUGAGACUCGGCCCAGACUCGUGCGGGAGGCAGCUGUGGGGGAUUUUGGACAAUGGGGGCAACCCUGGUCCAGCAAUGCCGCGUGUGUGAAGAAGGCCUUCGGGUUGUAAAGCACUUUUGUCAGGAACGAAACGGUGAGGGCUAAUAUCCUUUGCUAAUGACGGUACCUGAAGAAUAAGCACCGGCUAACUACGUGCCAGCCGCCGCGGUAA
Molecule: ribosomal RNA, 502 nt
Filed under: uncultured bacterium
Lineage: Bacteria
Description: partial 16S ribosomal RNA
Rfam family: Bacterial small subunit ribosomal RNA
Source: RNAcentral